AGAAUUUGUCACUUUUUUUAAAAACCUCAUCUCUGAAGAAAGUGGUGAGGAGUUGUUCUCAUCCCUGGUUUGGCUGCUGAGGACAGCCCAAAGCACAGACGGGCUUCGACAGUGGCAGUGCCUGCCGGAGGCAGUGAGAAAGGACUGACAAAAUUCUGGUGGUAAACAGCACUGAGCAGAUGCAGAUGGAAUUGUGAGGCUUGAGCUGCACCUCUAAAUCAUUACAAGACAGACUCUGCCAGGCAAGAGAUUCCUGCUGGAACGGGACUGAUCCAUCCUGGUCCCUGGGCCUGCAGUGAACUCAGUAUUUUUCUUAUGGAAAGUUGGGCCAUGAAAAAAGAAUCCCGUGUUUGCACAAAGGAUGCAAAGGAUGCACAAAGGAUCUUAAAAUGUUUUCUGAGAACAGCUUAAAAAAUUGAAAUCACUUUCGCAAUUUAGAGGAAAAGCGAACAAUUUAUUUAAGUACUUAAUCCGUUGUGCAUCAAGGCACUUUAAUGAAUCAGACAAGAAGCAGACCUGAAGCACGACAAAGGCGGUAAGAAGAAUAUGCGAGGAAAAACUUGAUCUUAUUUACUUUUAUUUGUGAGGUGGAAGGGAAAAGUGGUUGAAAUCUCCCAGGUUAAUGGAAUUCUGAAUGUUACCUUGUGUGGCCGUGGUAUCUUGAGGAGCAGAUUAGCAGCUGGCUGUAUCAGUUUGCUGGCAGAGCAGCAGAAUUCCUGAACUUUGGCUGUCUUUGGUCUCAUACCCAGAGGAGCCGCGUUCCAACUGCAGACAGAGCUCAGCUGCCCUGCGUGGCCAUCCUGCCUCCACUCCAGCAGGCCAACUACAUUAGCAGGAACUGAGGAUGAAAAAACUCUUUUAAGGAGCAAUAUUAAUCAUCAGCCCCAGCAAACAUCGUUUGGGUCAGUGG
Hirundo rustica (Barn swallow) is the source of this 910-nucleotide long non-coding RNA. RefSeq lists it as uncharacterized. The record is from RefSeq and is a predicted model, not a curated record. Lineage: Eukaryota; Metazoa; Chordata; Aves; Passeriformes; Hirundinidae. The transcript is spliced from 3 exons.